CGGACGGGGGAGUAAUGUCUGGGAAACUGCCCGAUGGAGGGGGAUAACUACUGGAAACGGUAGCUAAUACCGCAUAACGUCGCAAGACCAAAGAGGGGGACCUUAGGGCCUCUUGCCAUCGGAUGUGCCCAGAUGGGAUUAGCUAGUAGGUGGGGUAACGGCUCACCUAGGCGACGAUCCCUAGCUGGUCUGAGAGGAUGACCAGCCACACUGGAACUGAGACACGGUCCAG
Molecule: ribosomal RNA, 232 nt
Filed under: uncultured bacterium
Lineage: Bacteria
Description: partial 16S ribosomal RNA
Rfam family: Bacterial small subunit ribosomal RNA
Source: RNAcentral